GAAAUGCGAUACGUAGUGUGAAUUGCAGAAAUACGUGAAUCAUCGAAUCUUUGAACGCAAAUUGCGCUCGAGGCUUCGGCCAAGAGCAUGUCUGCCUCAGCGUCGGGUUAAUACUCGCUCCCAAUUCACAUUGGGAACGGAACUGGCUUUCCCGGCUUGUUUGCUCAAGCCGGGUCUGCUGAAGUGCAGAGGUUGAUGCAUGGACCCGCUAACGGGCCUCUACUGGGUAGGCAAUUCAUUGCUAAUGCUUUAGUGGAUGGCUUGGGUUAUGCUUGUCGACCCCAACCAGGAACUAGGAGCUCGACUCCUAGCAAACCCCAUUUUCUCGACCUGAGCUCAGGCAAGAACACCCGCUGAACUUAA
Molecule: unclassified non-coding RNA, 363 nt
Filed under: uncultured fungus
Lineage: Eukaryota; Fungi
Description: sequence contains ITS1
Rfam family: 5.8S ribosomal RNA (bases 1-105)
Source: RNAcentral